GAGGGAAAGUUGCAAAGCACUUUGAAGAGAGAGUUAAAGAGGACGUGAAACCGAUAAGGUGGAAACGGAUAGAGCCGACGUAUCUGGCCUGUAUUCAGCUGUCGGUCAGUGUCGAUUGCUUUAGCCGGUCCUGCUUUUGGCUGGCUGAAGUAUAACGCUGGCGUUGAUUGGCGGUGCAUUUGCAGGUGGAGUGCGCUGAGGAGUACACUUGAGCGGUUGGACGCCUGUCUUGAGGUCUCGCUUUCGGGUGAGGUGCCCGGACAGGACGAAGACUGUUUGUCGUGUAUUUUGUUGCAAUGAGUAUGGCGUACGAGCCGGCUGGUAGUUUGCUCGGUGAUAGUGGGCAGUCGCGUGCGAAUGCUCCUAUUUGCUUGGUAGGCUACUGGUGCGGGCUCACUUACUCGUCUUCGGUGUAAGAGUUGGUCAUCUAUCCGACCCGUCUUGAAACACGGACCAAGGAGUUUAGCGUGUACGCGAGUCAUUGGGUGUUGAAAACUCAAAGGCGUAAUGAAAGUAAAGGCUACCUUUGUGGGGCCGAUAUGCGAUCCUGAGUGCUUUGGUGCUUAGGAGCAGCAUAGCCCCAUCCGGAUUGCUUGCAAUGGGGUGGAGGUAGAGCGUAUUCGCUGAGACCCGAAAGAUGGUGAACUAUGCCUGAGCAGGAUGAAGCCAGAGGAAACUCUGGUGGAAGUCGAAGCGGUUCUGAC
This 704-nucleotide ribosomal RNA is filed under the name Zeatylenchus pittosporum. Its description in RNAcentral is "eukaryotic LSU rRNA". It matches the Rfam family "Eukaryotic large subunit ribosomal RNA", at positions 355 to 890 of the family's 3401-position model. The record is from RNAcentral. Lineage: Eukaryota; Metazoa; Nematoda; Chromadorea; Rhabditida; Anguinidae.